RNAcentral lists this unclassified non-coding RNA (362 nucleotides) under soil metagenome. RNAcentral describes it as "partial contains 5.8S ribosomal RNA, internal transcribed spacer 2, and large subunit ribosomal RNA". The stretch from base 1 to 120 matches the Rfam family "5.8S ribosomal RNA", at positions 35 to 154 of the family's 154-position model. The record is from RNAcentral.
GAUGAAGAACGCAGCGAAAUGCGAUAAGUAAUGUGAAUUGCAGGAUUCAGUGAAUCAUCGAAUCUUUGAACGCACCUUGCGCUCCUUGGUAUUCCGAGGAGCAUGCCUGUUUGAGUGUCAUUAAUAUAUCAACCUUCUCUUUUUUGAGUUGUUUGGAUGUGGGGGUUUGCUGGCCUCUUAAAUGAUUCAGCUCCCCUGAAAUGCAUUAGCAGUACAACCUGUUCAUUGGCGUGAUAAUUAUCUAUGCUAUUGAAUGUGAGGGCAGUUCAGCUUUCUAACCGUCCUUGGACAAUUCAUCAUUAAUGUGACCUCAAAUCAGGUAGGACUACCCGCUGAACUUAAGCAUAUCAAUAAGCGGAGGA